Molecule: small nucleolar RNA, 130 nt
Filed under: Cynoglossus semilaevis (tongue sole)
Lineage: Eukaryota; Metazoa; Chordata; Actinopteri; Pleuronectiformes; Cynoglossidae
Description: Small nucleolar RNA SNORA63 (ENSCSEG00000005770.1)
Rfam family: Small nucleolar RNA SNORA63
About the family: E3 belongs to the H/ACA class of snoRNAs and is involved in the processing of eukaryotic pre-rRNA and has regions of complementarity to 18S rRNA.
Source: Rfam by way of RNAcentral
AUGCAGGAUAAGUUACAAUGCAGCAGGUGCAGUACUGUAUUGUCGUUCCCCCUGCAAACAGCAUUCUGUUUCCUCGCUAUACCUGUCUGUCAACAUCCUUUGACAGUCAGGGACGUAAGGUUUCAGACAA